GAUGAACGCUGGCGGCGUGCCUAAUACAUGCAAGUCGAGCGAACGGACGAGAAGCUUGCGUCUCUGAUGUUAGCGGCGGACGGGUGAGUAACACGUGGAUAACCUACCUAUAAGACUGGGAUAACUUCGGGAAACCGGAGCUAAUACCGGAUAAUAUUUUGAACCGCAGGGUUCAAAAGUGAAAGACGGUCUUGCUGUCACUUAUAGAUGGAUCCGCGCUGCAUUAGCUAGUUGGUAAGGUAACGGCUUACCAAGGCAACGAUGCAUAGCCGACCUGAGAGGGUGAUCGGCCACACUGGAACUGAGACACGGUCCAGACUCCUACGGGAGGCAGCAGUAGGGAAUCUUCCGCAAUGGGCGAAAGCCUGACGGAGCCACGCCGCGUGAGUGAUGAAGGUCUUCGGAUCGUAAAACUCUUUUAUUAGGGAAGAACAUAUGUGUAAGUAACUGUGCACAUCUUGACGGUACCUAAUCAGAAAGCCACGGCUAACUACGUG
This 497-nucleotide ribosomal RNA is filed under the name uncultured bacterium. RNAcentral's name for it is "partial 16S ribosomal RNA". It matches the Rfam family "Bacterial small subunit ribosomal RNA", at positions 28 to 507 of the family's 1533-position model. The record is from RNAcentral.